CUCAAUGUUGUGUCUGUAUCUGCAGGUACACAGACGAGGAGGCAUACAAAGAUAUGGCAAUUGGUAUUGAUUUCACCCUCCCUACACCUCUGACGAAUAAAACAGAAAACCUGUUAGAUCACCAAGCGCUGCAAAAUCAUUCUAGCUAUGGAUACAGAGAACAUCAACACAUUAACAUCAACACGCCAGAGGAUAUACCAAUUGGACUUGGGGCUCUGCUUGGAGUUUACCUCAUAUUUAAAAAAAUGUAUUCUGCUUUGCCACUAAAAUCAUAAUAAA
This 279-nucleotide long non-coding RNA is filed under the name Salmo salar (Atlantic salmon). Its description in RNAcentral is "lncRNA (ENSSSAG00000104558.1)". Lineage: Eukaryota; Metazoa; Chordata; Actinopteri; Salmoniformes; Salmonidae. The record is from RNAcentral.